GAACGAAUCGAUUCGCUCGAUCGAGUCAUUUGUAUGUGUCGUUUCUAAAAAAAAAAAAAAAAAAAAAAAAAAAAAAAGACCGAAUCGUUUGCUAAUCUCUCAUCACUUUUACAGAAGAAGAGAGAGGAGAAAGUCAGUCCUCCCUGAAUCCAUUAUGGACUAAUAAAAGACGCGUUAUCAUUCUGCUUUUUCAUUCGUUUCAUUGUUUGGUGGUAGAGCGGGUUGUCCACUCAUCAUAGGGUUGGCGGUUCGAUUCCCGGCCCACGUGACGCCACAUACCAAAGUGUCCUUUGGCAAGACACUGAACCCCAAGUUGCUCCCGAUGGCAAGUUAGCGCCUUGCAUGGCAGCUCUGCUACCAUUGGCGAGUGUGUGAGUGAGACACAGUGUAAAGCAUUUUGGAUAAAAGCACUCUAUAAAUGCAGACCAUUUACCAUCUAUCUAUCUCUAUGUAUGCUGUGAUUUUCUGAUUUGAAAUGAAAGUCUUUCUCACUGUGACAUGGUUUUUAUUCUUUUUACUCUUUAGGCACACUUUUUUUUUCUUUUUCCUCUGAUUGUCUUCUCUCACUUCACUCACUACUCUGAUUUACACAGCAUGAAAAAUUCACUGCAUGUCGUCUACACUGGGUCAUCAUGCCCCUCCAUUGUGUCCCAGCGUAGCUUCUCCCCCAAGCCAUUUGUGUGUGUGUGUGUGUGUGGUUCUGUUGCGAUGCAGACGAGUGUGUGACGCUACAGGUCACUGAGGACAAUACAAACGCUUGGAGUGUGGCUCCAAAGAACACGGCCCACAGCAGGCAAAAGGUUCAGAUACGCUUAAAUGCUUGAAGGCGAGGUUUUAAGAAGGAAAAGCUCAUAGAUCAGAUCCAGCACACGACUUCACCAUGAGCUACUGCACAUGGCACAAAGAGCGCUCUGUUGUUGGAAACACGAGCCUAUAAUCACCGGUCUGGCACUCUGCUGUGCCUUUUGAUCCGCAUGGCCACAUCAUGUAGGAAUGCCAUCGUCGCUGGAUUUCUUUAGCUCUUCUUGGAGUCGUGCCUACGACGGCGUACAUUUGAAGUGCUAUGUUUAGGAAAUUGGUUUCAGGGCAGAGCAGGAGCACACUGUUGGCUUUUGUGUCUUUAAGAUGUUCAAUGUGAAAAUAAAGACCACCAGUGGUGUAUUUUCUCCAUGUAGUGGUGUAAUGUAUAAUGUAACACAUGGAAAAAAUCCCCUGCUUGCAAUUAAUCAGCGUUGCUGCUUGGUUUUAACGGGGAACGAGCACGUUGCAGAGUGUUUACAUGUGCCGAGUGGCUUGGACAGCAGGUAAAUGUCACUCCACCUAAUGAAUGGUUACAACCCCAAUUCCAAAUAAGUUGGGAUGAUUUGCAAACCUCAUAAACCCAUAUGUUAUUCACAAUAGAACAUAGAAAACAUAUCAAAUGUUUAAACUGAGUAAGUGUACGAUUUUAAGAAAAAAAUAAGGGCAUUUUGAAUUCGGUGGCCGCAGCACAUCUCAAAAAAGUUGGGACAGGGGCAACAAAAGGCUGGAAAAGUAAGUGUUAGAAAAAAGAAACAGCUGGAGGAACAUUUUGCAACUAAUUAGGUUAAUAAUUAGGUCAGUAACAUGACUGGAUAUAAAAAGAGUAUCUUAGAGAAGCAGAGUCAUUCAGAAGUAAAGAUGGGAUGGAAUCUGGAUGGAAGCAUUUGUUGCUCUAAAACCUGUAUAUACCUUUCAGCAUUGAUGUCGCCUUUCCAGAUGUGCAAGCUGCCCGUUAUGUAGGCACUAAUGCACCCCCAUACCAUCUGUUUUUAUUUACAUUUAUGUCCAUUUUACACAGUGUCCCCAUUUUUUUUGGAAUUGGGAUUGUCGUUUGGGGGAAAUGUCUCUAAAUCUGACUUCUUUCCAGCAUCCAUCAGACUCUCUUGGGUAUCUUCAUAGUAUUUCCUGGGUUUUUUUGUUAGGGCUUAGGCAGUGAGUGGCUUGCGGGGAGGGGGCACACUGCGAGUAAAAUAAGUAGUACAAGUAGGUGAAGUACAAUGAAAAGGACAAAAAUAAACCAUGCCUCCCUGAUGAGCACUUCCUCCGAUUUCUUUUGCUGACUUCAAGUCGGAAUUAUCAUAAUUAUCAUAAUUACGGGAAAUCUCCAAGGUGAACAGCACCACAAUGUCGUAAUUAAAACAUCUUCUAUAAGCCUUGACUUUCCAUGCCAAUAACAAAAAGUCAUUGCGGUUUCCGGUAUAACUUUGACGUCUACAGCACACGGUAUGAUUUAACUGGUAAUUUAGCAUGUUAGCGGUGCAGUUAUGUACAGUUUUUACUCUACAGUUUUAGUCCGUACACAUUUUUGUGCACGAUGUUCAUGAAGAACAGCUAACCGACCCACCAAAAUAAACUCCUUGUCAUCAAUGAUACAAUAAAUAAAUAUAUACAAACAAAAGAAGUUUUCUCACGUUGUCCAUGUUUACCCCAACCAAAACCACUUAAACACACACCACGUCAUAAUCAGGACCUCCAAACUCAUACGCACGAGCCUUCAAGGAGUACCUGGGGCAGAAAUUCAAUGAAGAAACAAUACUAAUAAGCCUCUACAACCUGGUUGAGACAGCACAAAUGCUGCUAGCUAACUUGAGAUCACAGAAGGGAGCUGUGCUAGCGUCUCUCUAGCUAAUUUGCUAGAGUUAGUUAACUCACCACAUCGUUAGGAAGUUAUAAAAUGUCCAUUGUAAAAUCCUAACAUUGUUACCAGAUGUAAGAAUGUGAGAUUUGAUAUAUUGGUGUCAAGCAGCGUCACUUGGGUUUUCACACCAGAUUUGUUCACUAACAUCACUAGCACUCUUCAAGUUUAAUGAUAUUGUACUUUGGUGUCG
Ictalurus punctatus (channel catfish) is the source of this 2849-nucleotide long non-coding RNA. Lineage: Eukaryota; Metazoa; Chordata; Actinopteri; Siluriformes; Ictaluridae. The record is from Ensembl.